AGCAGUCGCCACGGGAAUACGUAGGUGGCGAGCGUUGUCCGGAAUUAUUGGGCGUAAAGGGAGCGCAGGCGGACAUAUAAGUCCAUCUUAAAAGUGCGGGGCUCAACCCCGUGAGGGGAUGGAAACUGUAUGCCUUGAGUGCAGGAGAGGAAAGCGGAAUUCCCAGUGUAGCGGUGAAAUGCGUAGAUAUUGGGAGGAACACCAGUGGCGAAGGCGGCUUUCUGGACUGUAACUGACGCUGAGGCUCGAAAGCCAGGGGAGCGAACGGGAUUAGAUACCCCCGUAGUCCCUGUCUCUUAUACA
This 303-nucleotide ribosomal RNA is filed under the name uncultured bacterium. RNAcentral's name for it is "partial 16S ribosomal RNA". It matches the Rfam family "Bacterial small subunit ribosomal RNA", at positions 507 to 809 of the family's 1533-position model. The record is from RNAcentral.